Molecule: ribosomal RNA, 469 nt
Filed under: Novosphingobium sp. VITPRS32
Lineage: Bacteria; Pseudomonadati; Pseudomonadota; Alphaproteobacteria; Sphingomonadales; Sphingomonadaceae
Description: bacterial SSU rRNA
Rfam family: Bacterial small subunit ribosomal RNA
Source: RNAcentral
CGAGUUUGAUCCUGGCUCAGAACGAACGCUGGCGGCAUGCCUAACACAUGCAAGUCGAACGAGACCUUCGGGUCUAGUGGCGCACGGGUGCGUAACGCGUGGGAACCUGCCCCUUGGUUCGGAAUAACAGUUAGAAAUGACUGCUAAUACCGGAUGAUGACUUCGGUCCAAAGAUUUAUCGCCGAGGGAUGGGCCCGCGUAGGAUUAGCUAGUUGGUGGGGUAAUGGCCUACCAAGGCGACGAUCCUUAGCUGGUCUGAGAGGAUGAUCAGCCACACUGGGACUGAGACACGGCCCAGACUCCUACGGGAGGCAGCAGUGGGGAAUAUUGGACAAUGGGCGAAAGCCUGAUCCAGCAGUGCCGCGUGAGUGAUGAAGGCCUUAGGGUUGUAAAGCUCUUUUACCCGGGAUGAUAAUGACAGUACCGGAGAAUAAGCUCCGGCUAACUCCGUGCCAGCCGCCGCGGUAAC